This 249-nucleotide unclassified non-coding RNA is filed under the name Botryosphaeria ramosa. RNAcentral describes it as "partial contains 5.8S ribosomal RNA, internal transcribed spacer 2, and large subunit ribosomal RNA". Lineage: Eukaryota; Fungi; Ascomycota; Dothideomycetes; Botryosphaeriales; Botryosphaeriaceae. The record is from RNAcentral.
CGCACAUUGCGCCCUUUGGUAUUCCGAAGGGCAUGCCUGUUCGAGCGUCAUUACAACCCUCAAGCUCUGCUUGGUAUUGGGCACCGUCCUUUGCGGGCGCGCCUCAAAGACCUCGGCGGUGGCGUCUUGCCUCAAGCGUAGUAGAACAUACAUCUCGCUUCGGAGCGCAGGGCGUCGCCCGCCGGACGAACCUUCUGAACUUUUCUCAAGGUUGACCUCGGAUCAGGUAGGGAUACCCGCUGAACUUAA